Molecule: long non-coding RNA, 875 nt
Filed under: Salmo salar (Atlantic salmon)
Lineage: Eukaryota; Metazoa; Chordata; Actinopteri; Salmoniformes; Salmonidae
Description: lncRNA (ENSSSAG00000106174.1)
Source: RNAcentral
AUAGUGUCUGGGACGCACGAACAAAACGCCGCUAUUCGGAUAUAACGAUGGAUUAUUUUGGACCAAACCAACAUUUGUUAUUGAAGUAGCAGUCCUGGGAGUGCAUUCUGACGAAGACAACAAAAGAUUGGAAUGUCCACAGUGCAAGGUGUUCUACAUUGGACGGACAAAGAGACGCCUUCAAGAUCGCCUAGCGGAACACAAGUACGCCAUACGGGUAGGCAAUGAAGACUACCCCAUGGCAAGGCACUGCAAGUCCUUAAACCAUGGUAACCCUGCCUCCCUACAAGCUAUGGGUAUUGAUCAUAUCCCGGCCUUUAUUAGAAAAGGGGACCGUCUUAAACAGUUAAACCAAAUGGAAAGUUUUUGGAUUUACAAACUACAGGCCACUAAAUACCCAGGUUUAAAUGAAGAUAUGGAUUUCUCAUCCUUCCUGUAGGGUUGUGAUGGGUACAUUUGCUGUCAUCUAGUGGGUAUUUUGCUCAAUUGCCCUCAGCUAUGUUUAGACUCUUGUUGUUCAUGUUUUGCUGUGUUCUAGUGUACUAUGGAAUAUAUUGCUUUCUUAUUCUUGACACUUCUCCCAGACAUAUUUAAGGUUAGAACUACCUUUCUAAGUGUUCUGAUAAUUCUAGCUUGGAGUUACAUUUUUAUGAUAACAUAGCUACAGUAUUUCACUUUAAAGUGUGUAUACUAUUGCUUACUAGGUGUGUCCAAUCAAUUUUAACCACUCCCUCUUCAAAUUAGGGUUAAUUGGAAAAGCUGUUAAAAAGAGAACAUUGUUUUAUUUCUUUGUACUCCCUGAUGAAGGCCAUGCAGCCGAAAUGCGUCGGAUUUUAAAGAACAUUGUUUCUAUUGAACAUGCCAUACUAAUAAAG